This 247-nucleotide unclassified non-coding RNA is filed under the name uncultured fungus. Its description in RNAcentral is "partial contains 5.8S ribosomal RNA, internal transcribed spacer 2, and large subunit ribosomal RNA". The stretch from base 1 to 52 matches the Rfam family "5.8S ribosomal RNA", at positions 103 to 154 of the family's 154-position model. Lineage: Eukaryota; Fungi. The record is from RNAcentral.
AACGCACAUUGCGCCCGCCAGUAUUCUGGCGGGCAUGCCUGUUCGAGCGUCAUUUCAACCCUCAAGCCCGGCUUGGUGUUGGGGUCCUGUUUGUCAAAAACAGGCCCUGAAAUACAGUGGCGAGCUCACCUGGACUCCGAGCGUAGUAGUUAACGUCGCUCAGGGCGUCCGGCGGGUUUCUGCCGUAAAAUCCUCCAUUUUACAGAAGGUUGACCUCGGAUCAGGUAGGAAUACCCGCUGAACUUAA